AGGUGCUGCAUGGCUGUCGUCAGCUCGUGUCGUGAGAUGUUGGUUAAGUCCGCAACGAGCGCAACCCUACGUUUAGUUGCUAACGCGUGAAGGCGAGCACUCUAGACGAACUGCCGUUGACAAAACGGAGGAAGGUGGGGAUGACGUCAAAUCAUCAUGCCCCUUAUGUUCUGGGCUACACACGUGCUACAAUGGCCGGUACAGACGGACGCAAAGCCGCGAGGUGGAGCAAAUCCUAAAAAGCCGGUCUCAGUUCGGAUUGCAGGCUGCAAUUCGCCUGCAUGAAGUCGGAAUCGCUAGUAAUCGCAGGUCAGCAUACUGCGGUGAAUACGUUCCCGGGCCUU
RNAcentral lists this ribosomal RNA (344 nucleotides) under uncultured Pelotomaculum sp. Its description in RNAcentral is "bacterial SSU rRNA". It matches the Rfam family "Bacterial small subunit ribosomal RNA", at positions 1036 to 1382 of the family's 1533-position model. The record is from RNAcentral. Lineage: Bacteria; Bacillati; Bacillota; Clostridia; Eubacteriales; Desulfotomaculaceae.